GAUGAAGAACGUAGUGAAAUGCGAUAAGUAAUGUGAAUUGCAGAAUUCAGUGAAUCAUCGAAUCUUUGAACGCACCUUGCGCCCUUUGGCUAUUCCGAAGGGCAUGCCUGUUUGAGUAUCAUGAACACCUCAACUCUUUAUGGUUUUCCAUGAAGGGCUUGGACUUUGGGGGUCUUGCUGGCCUUUAGUCAGCUCCUCUCAAACGAAUCAGCUUUCCAGUGUUUGGCAGCGUCACAGGUGUGAUAACUAUCUACGCUUGUGGUUUUCUGCCAGGUAAUCCUCAGUGAUGGGGAUUCGCUGGGGCUUAUAAAUGUCUCUCCUCAGCGAAGACAGCUUUGUGAACGUUUGAUCUCAAAUCAGGUAGGACUACCCGCUGAACUUAAGCAUAUCAAUAAGCGGAGA
This 402-nucleotide unclassified non-coding RNA is filed under the name soil metagenome. RNAcentral's name for it is "partial contains 5.8S ribosomal RNA, internal transcribed spacer 2, and large subunit ribosomal RNA". The stretch from base 1 to 121 matches the Rfam family "5.8S ribosomal RNA", at positions 35 to 154 of the family's 154-position model. The record is from RNAcentral.